Lingula anatina is the source of this 3491-nucleotide long non-coding RNA. RefSeq lists it as uncharacterized. Lineage: Eukaryota; Metazoa; Brachiopoda; Lingulata; Lingulida; Lingulidae. The record is from RefSeq and is a predicted model, not a curated record.
UGUAAGAGUCAGUGAAUGAAAUCACUUACAUUAAUGAAAAGUUAGAUCAGUAGUUAAAAAUAAAAAUACUCAUACUUUAUAAAGCACUGGUGCCACAUGAAGUGUUCAGAAGAGAUAGAGUAUGCUUCAAGUUUUGAAGGGUGAGAAUUAAAUUUGUUACUGGUGUUUCGGCAAAUAAAAAAUUUUGACAACAGGAGUGUUACAACUUGUGUAGAUAUAGCCAGCUGAAGUGAAACCAGAUGCCUCACAGGUGAAGGUCUUGGCUGAUUUUUAAAAAGCUGGAUUUAGUAUUACAUCAACACAGAGAGCUACAUUUGCCUGACUGUCAAUGGUACAAGAUAUGGAAAAAGAUUCUUCGACUGAUGACUUGCAAAAAAGUCUGUUACAUCACUGGCGAAUGGUGCUGAAAGGUUUGCGUACUAGUUCAAUGUCACUUGGAAUUGAGCCAAACCAUUUUGGAUAUCAAGUGUAGGUAAUAUUGAGGACAGUGCCCAAAGUGUUCAAAGGGUGUGCACAGGUAUCAUGAUAAAAACAACUCUACAGAGAAAAGUUUUUUAUCAUUUUCUAAAAUAACUGUGCUUUAACAAAUGGGAUGUAUGUGUAUUACACAAUAGGACACGUAUAUGCACCAUGAAAGGUUUGCUGGUUCCAACAACCACUAAAGAUUUUCCUACAAAUCUUCAAUUUGCAUCAGAAAGUAGAGGACCUGACAGUGUGAAAAAUGCGACGAGUCUUCAACAUGCGUCUUCUUUCACAGUAGCCUCAGGGCUUAUUGGAGGCUCCAUUACUGCAGUUGUAUUUCUGAUAAUUAUUGUUAUAGCUUCAAUGUGCUGGAAGAGCCGAAGCAGUUCCGGGUCUUGUUUUGGUGGUGACGGUGACAGAAGAGUUCGGGAAAGACACACAGUGUUUGUACUUGGCAAUAGGAGGCAGCAUCAGCCCAAUGAAGAAGCAAGACAGUAUGGUUCCAGUUCUGUUACAAACAAUGAUGUUUCCAGCAGCUCACGAGAACAUAGAAUAACUGUGGAUACAUAUGAUGAGACAAUACAGGAAAUAACUUGAAGAAAACAAGCUAUUAGUGUUAAAAUGAAGUGAAUUUACAAGGCUCAGGUUCAGUUACGCAUGACUAAAGGAUAGAACUAUAAAUGACAAUUCUUAGAAUAUGAGGCAGUUGCCAAUGUCCUGAGCCUAAGCACCAUAGAAAGAAAAGAAUCAACCCAAAUGAAAGUCAAUCAAAAACUUUCAUUUAGUCUGACAGUGAAGUUACAACUAACAAAAUUGCAUGCUACUAAUGGGAUUCCUGCACCUCAAGCUUCUGGGAUUCAUCGUGCACGCCUUUUUCAGUAAGUGAAAUGUUAGACUAACAAUAAAUGGAAAAGCAGGACUUGAUGUUAACGGAGUUCCCAAUAAUCUUUGCAUCUCAGGAUGGUUUUCUACAGCUGUAUUCAUAACUGUUCAUUUACACUGGGAUCCCACACACCUCCUUGGUCCAACUGACAUCAGAAUUCAGUCAGAUCCCAAGACACUUCAGAGUUUUUCAAAAAUCCCUACCUAUACUGGGAUUCACACUCACCUUGCUAAAAGUUUAGCCAAACGCAUGAAGUCAACUAUGCAAUAUUGGUCUUAGAGCAUAAGUGGUCCCAAGUUAAUGUAGCUGACAUUCCUAAAUGAGCCACUAUCACUACUGACAAGACAAAAUUCACUCUUCUGGUGCUUACUUAAUACCCCAUCUACUCCAUUUUUCUAGACAAGCAGUGGAUUGGGGGUUUCUGAGAGCAUUUCAGAUAGCACAUUGCAACUGGAAACAGGUGAGGGGCUAUAUGAGCAUGCACACUCAGGACACCAGAAAAGGAACCCUACCAGCCAAUUAUCUGUCAACAUGUGUGUUUCCUUUUAUUGUUCAAAAUGUACCUGAUAAGGUUGCUGUGAUGUUUUUGUAUUGUAGAUGAUGAUCCAAAUAAACAGUUUUUCACAGAAGGUAAAAAAUCUGGAGGAAUAGUGCAGUGCAUGACGCAAUAUUUUUGUAUGCUCAUGGUCUCCUGUGCAGCACAUACACGAUUGAUAAAACAGUAAUUGGGGACCUGGAUUUUUAGCCAAGGGAAUUGGAUUCACUUCUUUGUACACAAAAGCAAUUCAAAUUUUAUACAAGCAAUUAGAAUCGGAGAAAAUUUGACUUUCCAAAUGGCAAUGUGAAAGGAGCAUAAAAAGCAUAAAGUAACAAUGCAAGUGGCCUAUUACUGCAACAUUCUUUGUGAAACUAAGCUUAGGCUACUUCAUUUCUUUAAUACUCUAUUACCUAAGACUCAUUUUUAACUGCAGUCAUUCUGUGAGAUGCCCAUCUUGUGAUGUCAGUGAAACUAUAGAAAGGAAAUUUUGGAAGUUCUAAAAAGAAAAAUGUUUCUUAUCAGGUAGUUAAUGUGUAGGUUUCAAAAAAAGUCCCAGUCUAUGUUAAAUACCUUAACUGCUGAAUGAGAAUUAAGGUACGCCAAUUACACAACUGUUUAUACCUUGUAAAAUUCCCUUGUGCCAAAUGCAAUGCAAGUGUUGAAUAAAUGUCCCAGAAAAUGGUCACACAUUACAAAUAGUGUUGUCUGAGAAAAGACACUACCAGCUUAUGUAAGUUAAUAUAGCGAUGUCAGGUAAUCAGUGUUAAGGCAAGUUCACACAGGACUGAUUUAGACCAGAAAUGGUGGUAGGCAAGUUCACACAGGACUGAUUUAGACCAGAAAUGGUAAUGCCAGCCUGUGACCAGAUUGAAAACUAUAUAUGUAUACUUUGCAGCAAGGGUCCCAAUAUAAUCUGCUGAUUAAAAUAAGUAAAUUUUCUAAGUAAGACCUGAUAUGACCAUGCCAAAAGUUCUGAAUAAAAAACCUGCAUCAAUUUUACGCCCACUGUUAUAUUAGCUGUAGAGGGUCUGAGAUUGUGCUGAGAUUAACCACAUUACACAUCUACAAGUAAUGUUAUCUUUACAAGACUAUCCAUUUAUUUACUUCUUGCCUGUAACAAGUUAAAAUUUUUUUCAGAAUCUCACUUAUUUAUCAAAUCCUAAUUUCUGUCAUGUCAAAAUACCCCAUUGUUAUAUUUAGUUUGGUGUAUCUGACUUAACAAGAACUCCCUGUGCUAGGGUCUGCUUGAUACAACAUGGCACUAUGGAAGAUUUUUGUGCUGAGGAGUUAAUAUUACUACCCUCAAGGUUAUGUUAAUAGAUUCCUCCCCUGUGUCUAGGCCUACAGUAAUAAGCAGAGCAAAAGACUCAUGAUGGACUGCCCAAUGCAUUCACCAAGGACAAGUGAUAUUGUUUUCACCCAGCUUAAUCUGAUAAGGUUGCCACUUCAGCAAGAAUUCAAAACUGGGUUACAAAAAAGUCACUGUAUGAUAUAGAUGAUAAUACACUUAUCACUUGAGCCAUAUAAUUGGCACAGCUUGAGGUUAAGCAUAAUAUUGUAUAUGUAACAAACUUCAUAACUAAAAUAAAAUACAAUGCAAUAGAGCAA